Non-coding RNA from Phthorimaea operculella (potato tuberworm), 72 nucleotides. The record is from the annotation of a GenBank genome assembly. NCBI's taxonomy places the organism in Eukaryota, Metazoa, Arthropoda, Insecta, Lepidoptera, Gelechiidae.
GCAUCGAUAGCUCAUUAGCAGAGCGUUGGAGUGUUUAUUUAUGCAGCCCGGGUUCGAUCCCCGGUCGAUGCA